CCGCAUUCCGCUGGUCAAGCUGCUCGGCAUAUCGCCGCACGGUCUGAAUGGCACCGCAGAGCCCGAGAUCCGCGUUUUCUACGAUUCGAUCCACGCAUUUCAGGAGAAGUUCUUUACGCGCCACCUGCGCACCGUGAUCGCGUUCGCCCAGAUCAACAUUUGGGGCAAGGUCGAUCCGGAUAUCUCGUUCAUCUACGAGCCGCUUUGGUCGCUCGACGAAAA
This 222-nucleotide unclassified non-coding RNA is filed under the name Hevea brasiliensis (rubber tree). Lineage: Eukaryota; Viridiplantae; Streptophyta; Magnoliopsida; Malpighiales; Euphorbiaceae. The record is from RNAcentral.